UAGAAAGAUUGCUGGGAAUCCAUCAGGGCCAGUAGCUGAGUUCGGGUUCAUAUCAUCUAUAGCCCUUAUUAGAGCGUCUUCUUUUAUAUCGAUCAUCAUU
This is a long non-coding RNA of Octopus sinensis (East Asian common octopus), 100 nucleotides long. RefSeq lists it as uncharacterized. The record is from RefSeq and is a predicted model, not a curated record. The transcript has 3 exons. NCBI's taxonomy places the organism in Eukaryota, Metazoa, Mollusca, Cephalopoda, Octopoda, Octopodidae.